This 253-nucleotide ribosomal RNA is filed under the name uncultured bacterium. RNAcentral's name for it is "partial 16S ribosomal RNA". It matches the Rfam family "Bacterial small subunit ribosomal RNA", at positions 524 to 776 of the family's 1533-position model. The record is from RNAcentral.
UACGUAGGGGGCGAGCGUUGUCCGGAAUUAUUGGGCGUAAAGAGCGUGUAGGCGGUUCGGUAAGUCUGUCGUGAAAUCCUGGGGCUCAACCUCGGGCGUGCGAUGGAUACUGCCGGGCUAGAGGGUGGUAGAGGCGAGUGGAAUUCCUGGUGUAGCGGUGAGAUGCGCAGAGAUCAGGAGGAACACCAAUGGCGAAAGCAGGUACCUGGACCAUUACUGACGCUCAGAUGCGAAAGCUAGGGGAGCAAACAGG